GAGUUUGCUCAUGGCUCAGAACGUACGCUGGCGGCACGCCUAACACAUGCAAGUCGAACGCAGUAGCAAUACUGAGUGGCAAACGGGUGAGUAUAAUGUGGGAAUCUGCCUUUUGGUUUGGAAUAACACGGGGAAACUUGUGCUAAUACCGAAUAAGCCCUUACGGGGAAAGUUUUAAUGCCGAAAGAUGAGCCCGCACUUGAUUAGCUAGUUGGUAAGGUAAAAGCUUACCAAGGCAACGAUCAAUAGCUGUUCUUAGAGGAAGACCAGCCACAUUGGGACUGAGACACGGCCCAGACUCCUACGGGAGGCAGCAGUGGGGAAUCUUGCACAAUGGGGGAAACCCUGAUGCAGCGAUGCCGCGUGAGUGAAGAAGGCCUUUGGGUUGUAAAACUCUUUCGUCGGGGAAGAAAAUGACUGUACCCGAAUAAGAAGGUCCGGCUAACUUCGUGCCAGCAGCCGCGGUAAUACGAAGGGACCUAGCGUAGUUCGGAAUUACUGGGCUUAAAGAGUUCGUAGGUGGUUGAAAAAGUUGGUGGUGAAAUCCCAGAGCUUAACUCUGGAACUGCCAUCAAAACUUUUCAGCUAGAGUAUGAUAGAGGAAAGCAGAAUUUCUAGUGUAGAGGUGAAAUUCGUAGAUAUUAGAAAGAAUACCAAUUGCGAAGGCAGCUUUCUGGAUCAUUACUGACACUGAGGAACGAAAGCAUGGGUAGCGAAGAGGAUUAGAUACCCUCGUAGUCCAUGCCGUAAACGAUGUGUGUUAGACGUUGGAAAUUUAUUUUCAGUGUCGCAGGGAAACCGAUAAACACACCGCCUGGGGAGUACGACCGCAAGGUUAAAACUCAAAUGAAUUGACGGGGACCCGCACAAGUAGUGGAGCAUGUGGUUUAAUUCGAAGAUACGCGCAGAACCUUACCAACACUUGACAUGUUCGUCGCGACUCUAAGAGAUUAGAGUUUUCGGUUCGGCCGGACGAAACACAGGUGCUGCAUGGCUGUCGUCAGCUCGUGUCGUGAGAUGUUGGGUUAAGUCCCGCAACGAGCGCAACCCUCACUUUUAGUUGCCAUCAUUAAGUUGGGCACUCUGAAAGAACUGCCAGUGAUAAGCUGGAGGAAGGUGGGGAUGACGUCAAGUCCUCAUGGCCCUUACGUGUUGGGCUACACACGUGCUACAAUGGCAUCUACAACAGGAAGCAAAACGGCAACGUUGAGCAAAUCCCGAAAAGAUGCCUCAGUUCGGAUUGCACUCUGCAACUCGAGUGCAUGAAGCUGGAAUUACUAGUAAUCGUGGAUCAGCGUGCCACGGUGAAUGCGUUCCCGGGUCUUGUACACACCGCCCGUCACACCAUGGGAGUUGGUUCUACCUUAAGGCAAGGCUUUAAACCCUUGACCACGGUAUAGUCAGCGACUGGGGUGAAGUCGUAACAAGGUAACC
This 1434-nucleotide ribosomal RNA is filed under the name uncultured marine bacterium. RNAcentral's name for it is "16S ribosomal RNA". It matches the Rfam family "Bacterial small subunit ribosomal RNA". The record is from RNAcentral.